Molecule: ribosomal RNA, 428 nt
Filed under: uncultured bacterium
Lineage: Bacteria
Description: bacterial SSU rRNA
Rfam family: Bacterial small subunit ribosomal RNA
Source: RNAcentral
UGGGGAGUAUUCCGCAAUGGACGAAAGUCUGACGGAGCAACGCCGCGUGAGUGAUGAAGGUUUUCGGACUGUAAAGCUCUGUUGUUUAGGACGAAAGUGCCUGUUGCGAACAGUUACAGGUAUUGACGGUACUAAACGAGGAAGCCACGGCUAACUACGUGCCAGCAGCCGCGGUAAUACGUAGGUGGCAAGCGUUGUCCGGAAUUAUUGGGCGUAAAGAGCAUGUAGGCGGAGAGUUAAGUCUGUUGUGAAAAUGCGGGGCUCAACCCCGUAUUGCGAUGGAAACUGAAUUUCUUGAGUGCAGGAGAGGAAGGGGGAAUUCCCAGUGUAGCGGUGAAAUGCGUAGAUAUUGUGAGGAACACCAGUGGCGAAGGCGCCUUUCUGGACUGUGUCUGACGCUGAGAUGCGAAAGCCAGGGUAGCGAACGG